Long non-coding RNA from Neofelis nebulosa (Clouded leopard), 1165 nucleotides. RefSeq lists it as uncharacterized. NCBI's taxonomy places the organism in Eukaryota, Metazoa, Chordata, Mammalia, Carnivora, Felidae. The transcript has 2 exons. The record is from RefSeq and is a predicted model, not a curated record.
GCUUUCCAUGCACGCUUGCCCGGCCACAAGGAAGGGGAGUCCCUACUCUGCCUGACCUCACCAGCUGGGGGGAGUGCCCAGCCCUCCAUCACAGCCCAGAGUAACAGAGGAGCAGACGAGUUCCGUUCACAGGCCCUAACACAACCGAUCCCCAAAACCAGAAGGGGAAAGCAGCAGACCCAGGAAAGCCAUGGACCCAGGCUGCAUAACCCAACGGUGUUCCGGGACGCUUGGCGAGGACAACCGCGGUCUCCGGGCAGCGUGACCCAGCCCCGCGCGCCUGGGGGCGGGGGACCCGUGCACCUGCAUCUCCGCGCGCAGGAGGAACGGGACGCGCCGGGUGUGGGGGCGGGGGGCUGGGACCCGCGGCUCCCGUGCCCAUCUCCUCCAGCCCCUGGAGCCCGGCCCAGGGUCUGGCUUUCAAAUAGCGGAAAUGUGGAAUUCUGUAUAAAAUCGUAAUCUCUAAACGCUUACAAAUAAUUAGAAAAGCUUACAGUUAGGCCAAGCAACAGCAUUGGCAGGCUGAUUUCAGGCCCCGUGUGAUGACAUCUGUACCGGGAAACAGAUGUGAGCCAUCGUCCACACCCUCAAAGCAUUACAGUUGGGGUGGGGGUAGAAAGUGAAGCCCACUGUUCUGUUCCGCUGCACCCUGGAGGGCCGGUGUGACUGCGGGGGAGGGGGGAUCCCCACUCUCAGGUCGCCCCUGCUACAUUACUGUCGUCUUCCCUGAAGGAAGGUUGGUGGUGCCAUCUCAGGGCACCCCUGCUUCUCCACACAGCGGUGGCUUCCUGCGUUCUCUGACGGGACCCCCCUCCCCCAGCCUCCGGUCAGCCUGCACUCUUGGACGCAGGCCAGCAUCGCUGCUCUCCUCUGCAUCUGGCCUGCUCCCUGCAGGGGCGCUGAUCUCACCCGCAGACUGCUCCAGGGCACUGUCCUGCAGGAAGUGUGGGCGGUUAAGUCUGCACCCCACCUCACCCCCUGUGGUCCCAUUUCCCUGCCAGGGGAGUCCCCGUCCCCUGCCCCCACCCCAGGGAAGAUGGGAGCCACAGUGCUCGCUGGAACACUGCCCACCUUGAGAGUGAACAGGGGCAGUGAGGAAGCCAUGGGGCCACGAUGUGCGCCUUUUCAGUGUCUCUUCAAUAAAAUAGAGAAAGCAUCAGACACA